GUCCCCAAAAUGAGGGGGGGUCCCCAAGGCCUAAAGGGUCCCCAAAAUGGAGAAGGUCCCCAAAAUGGGAGGGGUCACCAAGGUGGGGACGGUCUCCAAAAUGGGGGGUCCCAUUGGGGUCCCAUGGGUGGGAAGUCCCCAAACUGGGGGUCCCCUAAGUGGAGAAGGUCCCCAAAAUGGAGGGUCCCAUGAGGGGGCCCCCAAAUUGAGGACGGUUCCCAAAAUGGGGGUCCCAUGGGUGAUGUCCCCAAACUGGGGGGGUUCCCCAAAUUUGGGGAGGGGGUUCCAUGGAGGGUCCCCAAAAUGAGGGUCCCCAAAAUGGGGGUACCGUGGGUAGGAGAUCCCCGAAAUGGGGUCACCAAGGUGGAGAACGUCCCCAAAAUGGAGGGGUCACCGAGGUGGGGACGGUCUCCAAAAUGGGGGAUCCCAGAGGGGGUCCCAUGGGUGAGGUCACCAAAAUGGGGGGGUCACCAAGGUGGAGAAGGUCCCCAGAAUGGGGGGGGGUCCCAUGAAGGGGUUUCCCAAAACGGGGGUGUCCCAAAAUGGCCCCCCAAGUCCUGGGGGGUCCCCAAGGUGGAGAAAGUCCCCAAAAUGGGAGAUUCCAUUGAAGGUCCCCAAAAUGGGAGAUCCCAUUGA
Molecule: long non-coding RNA, 636 nt
Filed under: Junco hyemalis (dark-eyed junco)
Lineage: Eukaryota; Metazoa; Chordata; Aves; Passeriformes; Passerellidae
Description: lncRNA (ENSJHYG00000003892.1)
Source: RNAcentral